GAAAUGGUGUAAAUAUCUUGACCUUUUCUGUGAGUAAGGAACUAAUGUGACAGAUAGACCAUUGUCAUCAUUAAGAAACCACCACCUUCCUUUCCACGAUGAAGCAACCAGUUUUCCCAAAAUAAUAUAAUGCAAUGCUCUGCCACCCCAAGUGUGGCUGUAGGAGUUUGGGUUCCCUAGGUGGAAAUGCUUUCUAAGGCAUGCAGGUGGCAAGGGGAUUUACUGGAGGGUUAUGGGGUUGCACAUAACAUGCUGGAACGGCUUCGGAACCACUGGAACCAGCUCUGAGGAGCAGACUGGGGCAGAGCAGCUGAGCUGAGGGUGCUACAUCUCUCCUUGCACUGAUGGCUCCAGGACCCAGCCUCCAGGAGGAAGAGGAGUUCAGAGGAAUCAGAGUCAGAUCCCGACCAUGGCCAGGUGAGAAAACAGCUUCAUUGGCAGCUCCACCAAGGCUGAACGGUAGAGGAAACUUCUCCUAAGAUAUCAUUGGUGCUGCCCACACAAAAAGAAGAAAUUGAUGCAACAGAGUACAUCCAACCCCAGCAUCCGCCAUAAUGCAAUUCUGAGUUUGGCAGGAUGUGAAAUCUGAGACUCAACUGUAUCUUUAGUGUAAGAAGAUAGUUCAUUCAGGUCUAGUGGAGAACAUAAUGAUUUUAACUGGGGAAUAAUUUGUUUUAACCCACAUAAUCUCCCUUAAGAAAAUACUAUGUGUCAUAAGUUUAAACAUUUUAGCUAAUUGAAGUUAUUUUUGUUCAGGGAUGUGUGAUAUUUCAGCAAAACCAGAUUUUAGAACCUAAUCCUGUAGCCAUAGUGAUGGGAGGCAGGAAAAUUGGACUCUGAGUUGUCUACUCUGUACAGGAGAAAAGGGUAGAAAAAUCGUAUGUAGAACUAUUAAUAAAUUUAGCCUAGAAACUCAAAAAUGCAUUUGCUAAAAAAAUUGCGUUUGCUAUCGAUUUUUAAAAAUUUACUUAGUAUGACUUUGACUUAUUGCCUAAGUCUUCUUUACCCAGCUAGGAAUAUAAUGGGAAUGAAAACUUUAAUUGGAAGCAAGAGGAGGAUACUAUUGAGCUUCCCCAAACAGCUGACAUGUAUUGAGGGCCAAGGAUAGUCCAGGCUUGUUGGCUUCAUGACACAGGAAGAACCUCAUUGGUUUCAUUCUUCCUAUUUUAUAAGUGAGAAGACUAAAUUCCUUUAGAGUUAAGUCAUAUGGACACAUUGUCUAACUAAUCACCAGCAGAAUCAACCUCAAACCUGUCAGACCAUGAGGCUUGUGCCUCUGGUCACCUCCUAAUGUGCCUCCUUAACCUAAGGCAGGUGCUCCCACCUUUGUCCAUGAGGGAAUCCCACUAUUGAUUUGUGACUCUAGGGUACACCAUGUGUGCUCACGGUGGAGUUAGCAGAUGUGCCUUGGGCUACCCCAGUCCUGGCUGGGAGCUGGAGGACCACCCUCUCAGCACAUGCUGGGGAGCAGGAAGCUGAGGAGGAGGAAGCACAUUCAUUCAUGUCUCUAGUUCCUAUCGAAAGAAUUAGAGGGCCUAGCACAUAGAAGACCCUCAGCCCAUUUUAUAGAGUGCGAGUGUGUUACUAUUGACGUACUUGGCAUUCUAAGAUGUCCCUUGGGGUUUCAGGACUGGAUUUGCCAGACAUUUUUAGGCCAGCGGCAAACAUGACUGAAAAAAUUGUGUCUCAAUCUUAAAACCUUUACAAUCUAUUGAGGCCUCCUAGGGUAGAAAAAUUAAGCAACAUGGUGGAAAGGAUAAGCACAUGAUGUGGUUUGUCCAGCCCAGUAGGCCUGUGCCUGCCUCUGUCAACCUGAGCCAACCCAUGAGAUAACUCCUGGAGACUCUACUUCUCCCCUGUGAGAGGAAAACUUCACAUUUUAUUAUUUAGGUAGACUUCUGUUUAAGGAACAUAAGGCAUUGUCCAGAAAAAAAAAUAAUACAAUGUAAAGCUUCCCUUUUAAAAAAAUUUUUUUGGCCCAGGUAUUGUAGCCCAUGUCUAUAAUCUCAGCACUUUGGGAGGCUGAGGAAGAAGGAUCACUUGAGCCCAAGAGUUUGAGACUAGCCUGGUCAACAUAGCAAAACAAUGUCGCUACAAAAAGUAAAAUUAGCUGGGCAUGGUGGUGCACACCUCUAGUCUCAGUUACUAGAAAGUCUGGGGCAGGAGGAUCCUUUGAGCCUGGGAGGUUGAGGCUGCCAGUGAGCUGUGAUGAUGCCAUUGCACUCUAGUUUGGUUGACAGAGCAAGACACCAACUCAAAAAAAAAAAAA
Macaca fascicularis (crab-eating macaque) is the source of this 2269-nucleotide long non-coding RNA. NCBI's taxonomy places the organism in Eukaryota, Metazoa, Chordata, Mammalia, Primates, Cercopithecidae. The record is from Ensembl.